Non-coding RNA from Ailuropoda melanoleuca (giant panda), 83 nucleotides. The record is from Rfam. Lineage: Eukaryota; Metazoa; Chordata; Mammalia; Carnivora; Ursidae.
GCCUGGGUGGCACAGCGGUUGAGCGUCUGCCUUCGGCUCAGGGCGUGAUCCCGGUGUUGUGGGUUCGAGCCCCACAUCAGGCU